This is a long non-coding RNA of Heterocephalus glaber (naked mole-rat), 1374 nucleotides long. The record is from Ensembl. NCBI's taxonomy places the organism in Eukaryota, Metazoa, Chordata, Mammalia, Rodentia, Bathyergidae.
CUCCCUGCAAUUAUACUAAGAGGUGGGGACCUUCAGAGGUGAUUAACUCAUUAGAUGUCUUCCCUCAUGAGUGAGAUUAGUGUUUCUCUAAAAGAGGUUUGAAGGAACUUAUUUUGCCUUUUUACUAUGCAAGAUCAUAUAGAAGGGGCAAUCUAUGAGGAACAGGGGCGCACCAGACACCAAAUCUGGCACCUUGAUCUUGGAAUUCUCAGCCCCCAGCACUUCACUGUAACUUUAUUUUAGAGUCCUGCACUGCCCUGCCUAGGCUCUCCAGGGCCAUGGUGAGGAAAGCUCUUAAAAGGGCAGUUCCAGGUAGUCCUUUGGGAGUUUCCCAAAAAGAAGGGGCAGAAGAAACUAGAAACCGUAAAAACCUAAAUGAGCGACACAAGAUACUAAGUCUCCAUUAGCUAGCAAGAAGAUACACUUCAAUUUGCCUGGAACAGCCUUGUUUUAUUCCUAUAGAACAAUCCCUUCAUGGAGGAAGGUCCCCGAAGUCUCUGCCCUGGUCCAAAGAAUACCCAGAAAGGUUUUCCUUUCUCUGGAGAGAUCCAGGCAUGGACAUUGAGAAUGCUGAUUAGGACUUGCUCCCUCCCCUCCACAACAGCAGUCAGUUCUUUAUUGAGUGAAAUGGAAAGGUGGCACUGUCUUCUUCAUCCUUGGAGCCUAAAAGAAGGAGAUGAGAUGAACAGGGAGAAAGCACAAAGACAGGCCCUCCAGCAUGGCUUCCUUUAGUGGUCAGUGCUAACCCACCAUGGAUCAGGACUUCCAGCACCUGGAGUCAAGAAACCUGGAAAACAACAACUUAGGGAAGACAAAGAGAAGAGCUCCGGGAAUUAAAAAAGAGCAGACAGAAAAGCUAGAAAUCACAGAGAAGUUGGAGAAACUGAAGAUAACACAGAGAAAAGAUUAAAGUAGUCUGAAACAUCCGUCCCACCUCCUGGGGGUGUGGGGCUGUCUUUAUAAACAGAAGGUAAGCCCAGGAAGAGUUGGCAGCCCCAGCAAUAAAUAACAGACUGGCAGUGUUAGCCCCCAGAGAAGCCCACAGUAAGCUGCAAAUACAGGGUGGGUCUUACUCUGAAAGUGGCUCCUUCCACAUGGCACUCUAGAGUUGGAAAAGAAAUACAGUACAACACCCACUAUAUUUGGGAAAAUGUGGUAUAUAUACACAAUGGAGUACUACUCAGCCACAAAGAAAAAUAAAUGCCAAUCACUUGUAGAAAAAUGCAUGUACCUUGAGACCAUAGCGCUAAGUGAAAUAAAUUAGACACCAAAGGUUAAAUGGCAUAUGUUUUUUAUAUGAGAAAUCCAAAGUAUAAAUAAUUGAAAUAUCAAAAUAAAAGGUAGAUGAUAGUAAACAGAGAGAUAGACUUUGUG